AGCGAGCUGGAAGUGUCGUUAGCACCCCAGGCAAAAUGCAGAGUAGUAUUUCGUCCGUCUUUACGUUCUGAGUUCAAAUUCCACCGAGGUCGACUAAAUAAGUACCAGUGAU
Molecule: long non-coding RNA, 112 nt
Organism: Octopus sinensis (East Asian common octopus)
Lineage: Eukaryota; Metazoa; Mollusca; Cephalopoda; Octopoda; Octopodidae
Exons: 3
Source: RefSeq, a predicted model, not a curated record